Molecule: ribosomal RNA, 629 nt
Filed under: Hexagonia tenuis
Lineage: Eukaryota; Fungi; Basidiomycota; Agaricomycetes; Polyporales; Polyporaceae
Description: eukaryotic LSU rRNA
Rfam family: 5.8S ribosomal RNA (bases 218-371)
Source: RNAcentral
GUGACCUGCGGAGGAUCAUUAACGAGUUUUGAAACGGGUUGUAGCUGGCCUUCCGAGGCAUGUGCACGCCCUGCUCAUCCACUCUACACCUGUGCACUUACUGUGGGUCUCAGGCGAGCGUCGUCGCUUCGCGGCGUCGGCGUUCAAAUGGGCUCACGUUUUACUACAAACUAUUGAAGUAUCAGAAUGUGUAUUGCGAUGUAACGCAUCUAUAUACAACUUUCAGCAACGGAUCUCUUGGCUCUCGCAUCGAUGAAGAACGCAGCGAAAUGCGAUAAGUAAUGUGAAUUGCAGAAUUCAGUGAAUCAUCGAAUCUUUGAACGCACCUUGCGCUCCUUGGUAUUCCGAGGAGCAUGCCUGUUUGAGUGUCAUGAAAUUCUCAACCUAACGAGUCUUUUGGGGCUCUGUAAGAAUGGAAUUGGAAGUUCUUGGCCGCCUGGUUUUAGCGGGUUCCGGCUCCUCUCAAAUGCAUUAGCUUGGUUCCUUGCGGAUCGGCUCACGGUGUGAUAAUUGUCUACGCCGCGACCGUGAAGCGUUUGGCGAGCUUCUAACCCGUCUCACUAGAGACAAUACACUUAUGACCUCUGACCUCAAAUCAGGUAGGACUACCCGCUGAACUUAAGCAUAUC